Hirundo rustica (Barn swallow) is the source of this 439-nucleotide long non-coding RNA. RefSeq lists it as uncharacterized. The transcript is spliced from 3 exons. The record is from RefSeq and is a predicted model, not a curated record. NCBI's taxonomy places the organism in Eukaryota, Metazoa, Chordata, Aves, Passeriformes, Hirundinidae.
CUGGGGAUGCUGGUCCUGUGCCAUCCAGGGGAUCCUUUCAGCCUCCUCAUCUCUCCAUGCAAAAAGCAAGUGGGUGAGGGUCCACUCCCCAGAAGAAGGAGGAUUUUUUCCACCUCAUGGCCUUGCAAUGUUUUCUCAACAUCACUAGUGAUCCUUCCUUCCAUCUGCCCUCUUCCCUUGUGUGAUGCUGGUGCAGUUCUCCCCACCUGGAAGUGUGCACCCCACCUUGGAGGCAGGCACAUGGAGCUCAUCAUCCUGGAGACCCUGAUCCCUGACCACCAGGGGGAAUUGCAGGAAGCAAAGGGACCAGACCCAGCUGUCAAGGGAUGCUGAAGAGAAAUCCUGAUGGCAAGACAGAACAAAACUGACCAUGCAGCCAAAAGACGUGGACCAAUGGACAGUCAUUACAGUGUCUGAACGUGAGUUUUAACCAGUCAGC